This 329-nucleotide long non-coding RNA is filed under the name Hordeum vulgare. RNAcentral describes it as "long non-coding RNA (HVUL_LNC004377)". The record is from RNAcentral. Lineage: Eukaryota; Viridiplantae; Streptophyta; Magnoliopsida; Poales; Poaceae.
UUCUACUGAAAACAACGUCAGUCCUGGUUAGUUCCAUUCAAAUCAUGCAAAUUAGAGUCCAAAACAAGGGCAAAGGAGUUUGGAAAAGUAGAUACGAUGGAGACGUAUCAGCAGACCAGGUGGCUUGUUUCAAUCGGCCCUCGUCCUUCUCAUCUAGUUUCACAAGGGCGGCUUUUUUGGCUACAGUCAACUCCUUAAAAAUCAGAUACUCAGCCAUGACCUGUUCAAGUUCUCUCAAUGUAACUCGAAGUUUUUCCUCUGUUGCGGCCCUGGCGUCUUGUUGACACCCAGACUUUUUCUCAUCCCGCUUAGGGAUGCAUCAUUUUGAC